RNAcentral lists this ribosomal RNA (301 nucleotides) under uncultured bacterium. Its description in RNAcentral is "partial 16S ribosomal RNA". It matches the Rfam family "Bacterial small subunit ribosomal RNA", at positions 509 to 808 of the family's 1533-position model. The record is from RNAcentral.
CAGCCGCCGCGGGAAUACGUAGGUCCCGAGCGUUGUCCGGAUUUAUUGGGCGUAAAGCGAGCGCAGGCGGUUAGAUAAGUCUGAAGUUAAAGGCUGUGGCUUAACCAUAGUACGCUUUGGAAACUGUUUAACUUGAGUGCAAGAGGGGAGAGUGGAAUUCCAUGUGUAGCGGUGAAAUGCGUAGAUAUAUGGAGGAACACCGGUGGCGAGAGCGGCUCUCUGGCUUGUAACUGACGCUGAGGCUCGAAAGCGUGGGGAGCAAACAGGAUUAGAUACCCCCGUAGUCCCUGUCUCUUAUACA